RNAcentral lists this ribosomal RNA (253 nucleotides) under uncultured bacterium. RNAcentral's name for it is "partial 16S ribosomal RNA". It matches the Rfam family "Bacterial small subunit ribosomal RNA", at positions 524 to 776 of the family's 1533-position model. The record is from RNAcentral.
UACGAAGGGGGCGAGCGUUAUUCGGAAUCACUGGGCGUAAAGCGUGCGUAGGCUGUUUUGUAAGUCAGGAGUGAAAGCCCAAGGCUCAACCUUGGAAUUGCUUUUGAAACUGCAAGACUUGAAUCUCGGAGAGGAUAGCGGAAUUUCCAGUGUAGCAGUGAAAUGCGUAGAUAUUGGAAGGAACACCAGUGGCGUAAGCGGCUAUCUGGACGAGUAUUGACGCUGAGGCACGAAAGCGUGGGGAUCAAACAGG